This 505-nucleotide ribosomal RNA is filed under the name uncultured bacterium. Its description in RNAcentral is "partial 16S ribosomal RNA". It matches the Rfam family "Bacterial small subunit ribosomal RNA", at positions 28 to 507 of the family's 1533-position model. The record is from RNAcentral.
GACGAACGCUGGCGGCGUGCCUAAUACAUGCAAGUAGAACGCACAGUUUAUACCGUAGCUUGCUACACCAUAGACUGUGAGUUGCGAACGGGUGAGUAACGCGUAGGUAACCUGCCUGGUAGCGGGGGAUAACUAUUGGAAACGAUAGCUAAUACCGCAUAAUAUUGAUUAUUGCAUGAUAAUUGAUUGAAAGAUGCUAUUGCAUCACUACCAGAUGGACCUGCGUUGUAUUAGCUAGUAGGUGAGGUAACGGCUCACCUAGGCGACGAUACAUAGCCGACCUGAUAGGGUGAUCGGCCACACUGGGACUGAGACACGGCCCAGACUCCUACGGGAGGCAGCAGUAGGGAAUCUUCGGCAAUGGACGAAAGUCUGACCGAGCAACGCCGCGUGAGUGAAGAAGGUUUUCGGAUCGUAAAGCUCUGUUGUAAGAGAAGAACGGGUGUGAGAGUGGAAAGUUCACACUGUGACGGUAUCUUACCAGAAAGGGACGGCUAACUACGUG